CAUGACUUAUACAUGUUCCUAUGACUAUGAGAUUAUGCAACUCCUGAAUACCGGAGGAACACUUAGUGUGCUAUCAAACGUCACAACAUAACUGGGUGAUUAUAAAGAUGCUCUACAGGUGUCUCCGAUGGUGUUUGUUGAGUUGGCAUAGAUCAAGAUUAGGAUUUGUCACUCCGUGUUUCGGACAGGUAUCUAUGGGCCCUCUCGGUAAUGCACAUCACUAUAAGCCUUGCAAGCAAUGUGACUAAUGAGUUAGUUGCGGGAUGAUGCACUACGAAACGAGUAAAGAGACUUGCCGGUAACUAGAUUGAACUAGGUAUGAUGAUACCGACGAUCGAAUCUCGGGCAAGUAACAUACCGAUGACAAAGGGAACAACGUAUGUUGUGGUGCGGUUUGACCGAUAAAGAUCUUCAUAGAAUAUGUAGGAACCAAUAUGAGCAUCCAGGUUCCGCUGUUGGUUAUUGACCGGAGAAGUGUCUCGGUCAUGUCUACAUAGUUCUCGAACCCGUAGGGUCCGCACGCUUAACGUUCGAUGACGAUUGGUAUUAUGAGUUUAUGUGAUUUGAAGUACCGAAGGUUGUUCGGAGUCCCGGAUGAGAUCACGGACAUGACGAGGAGUCUCGAAAUGGUCGAGACAUAAAGAUUGAUAUAUUGGACCAUGUUGUUUGGACACCAGAAGUGUUCUGGAGAGUUUCGGAUAAAACCAGAGUGCCGGAGGGUUAAUGGGCCACCAUNNNNNNNNNNNNNNNNNNNNNNNNNNNNNNNNNNNNNNNNNNNNNNNNNNNNNNNNNNNNNNNNNNNNNNNNNNNNNNNNNNNNNNNNNNNNNNNNNNNNNNNNNNNNNNNNNNNNNNNNNNNNNNNNNNNNNNNNNNNNNNNNNNNNNNNNNNNNNNNNNNNNNNNNNNNNNNNNNNNNNNNNNNNNNNNNNNNNNNNNNNNNNNNNNNNNNNNNNNNNNNNNNNNNNNNNNNNNNNNNNNNNNNNNNNNNNNNNNNNNNNNNNNNNNNNNNNNNNNNUUCCCCUCCUUGUUGGACUAGGAAAGGGGGGAACCUACUCCUAGUAGGAGUAGGAUUCCCCCUCCCCCCUGGGCGCGCCCCUUGAGGCCGGCCGGCCCCCUCCUCCCCUCCUUUAUAUACGGGGGAGGGGGCACCCCAUAGACACACAAGUUGAUUUCUUAGCCGUGUGCGGUGCCCCCCUCCACAGUUUUCCACCUCGGUCAUAUUGUCGUAGUGCUUAGGCGAAGCCCUGCGUCGGUAACUUCAUCAUCAUUGUCACCACGCUGUCGUGCUGACAAAACUCUCCCUCGGCCUCAGCUGGAUCUAGAGUUCGAGGGACAUCACCAAGCUGAACGUGUGCAGAUCGCGGAGGUGCCGUGCGUUCGGUACUUGAUCGGUUGGAUCGCGAAGACGUUCGACUACAUCAACCGUGUUACUAAAUGCUUCCGCUUUCGGUCUAUGAGUGUACGUGGACACACUCUCCCCGCUCGUUGCUAUGCUUCUCCUAGAUAGAUAUUGCAUGAUCGUAGGAAAUUUUUUGAAAUACGACAUUCCCCAACAGAUUCUACAUGCGAAGCGGAGUACAUAGUUGCCUCGGAGGCAGCGAAGGAAGGUGUCUGGAUGAAGCAGUUCAUGACAGAUCUUGGAGUUGUGCCCAGUGUACUGAAACCAAUGACUCUGUUUUGUGACAACACUGGUGCCAUUGCUCUAGCCAAGGAACCAAGGUUUCACAAGAGGACCAGACACAUAAAGCGACGUUUCAACUCCAUCCGUGAUGUAGUCAAGGAGGAGGACAUAACAUUUGCAAAGUACAUACAGAUCUGAAUGUUGCAGAUCCGUUGACUAAACCUCUUCCACGGGCAAAACAUGAUCAACACCAGAACUCUAUGAGUGUUAGAUUCAUUAGCAUGUAAUACUAGAUUAUUGACUCUAGUGCAAGUGGGAGACUGUUGGAAGUAUGCCCUAGAGGCAAUAAUAAAGUGGUUUAUUAUAUUUCCUUGUUCAUGAUAAUCGUUUAUUAUCCAUGCUAUAAUUGUAUUGACCGGAAACUCAAAUACAUGUGUGGAUACAUAGACAACAACAUGUCCCUAGUAAGCCUGUACCGGACUAGCUCGUUGAUCAAAGAUGGCUAUGGUUUCCUAGUCAUAGACAUGAGUUGUCAUUUGUUAAUGGGAUCACAUCAUUAGGAGGUUUAUUGCUAUCGUUUUCUGCAUGUCAAAUAUCUGUUCAGAUGACCAUGAGAUCAUGCAACUCACUGACACCGGAGGAGUACCUUGUGUGUAUCAAACGUCGCAACGUAACUGGGUGACUCUAAAGAUGCUCUACAGGUAUCUCCGAGGGUAUCUAUUGAGUUGGCAUGGAUCAAGACUGGGAUUUGUCACUCCGUAUGACGGAGAGGUAUCUCGGGGCCCACUCGGUAAUACAUCAUUACAAUGAGCUUGCAAGCAAUGUGACUAAGUAGUUGGUCACGGAUCUUGUAUUACGGAACGAGUAAAGAGACUUACCAGUAACGAGAUUGAACUAGGUAUGGAGAUACCGACGAUCGAAUCUCGGGCAAGUAACAUAGCGAUAGACAAAGGGAACUGCAUACGGGAUUGAUUGAAUCCUUGGUAGCGUGGUUCGACCGAUAAAGAUCUUCGUGAAAUAUGUGGGAGACAAUAUGGGCAUCCAGGUCCCGCUGUUGGUUAUUGACCGGAGAGGUGUCUCGGUCAUGUCCACAUGAUUCUCAAACCCGUAGGGUCUGCAAGCUUAACGCUCGAUGACGCUAGAGUAGUAUUGGGAUAUUCACGUAGGUGACCGGAUGUUGUUCGGAGUCCCGGAUGAGAUCCCAGACGUCACAAGGAGCUCUGGAAUGGUCCGGAUGUAAAGAUCUAUAUAUGGGAAGUCAUAUUUUGGCUACCGGAAACGUUUCAGGUUUUACCGGUAUUGUACCGGAAAGCUUCUGGAAGGUUCCGGAAGGUUCUAGAAGGUUCCGUAGAGUUCCGGAGGAGUCCGAAAGGGUCCCUCCAGCACCUAGGGCGUGCAUGGGCUGUAAGGGGGCGUCCUAGCCUUAUUGGGAUAGGCGCACCAGCCCCCUAAGGCGCAUCCGCCUAGGGGAAGGGAAACCCUAAGGAGGAGGGCCCUCCACUUGGCUUGGAGAGGGCCCUCCACUUGGCUUGGAGGGCACUCCUCCCCUUUUGGACGCCUCCCCUCCUUGGUGGAGGGGCUAGGGCUGCGCCCCCAGCCCUCCAACACUCCUAUAUAUAGUGGGGAGGAGGGGCAAGGGCUGGACACAACAAUUCCCACGCCCUGCAGCCUCCCCUCUCUCCCGUUCUUCCUCGUUCAUAGUUCCAGAGGCGCUUGGCGAAGUCCUGCUGGAAUUGCUCCACCACCAUCUCCACCACGCCAUCAUGCUGGUUGAGAUCCCAUCUAUUUCUCCUCCCUCGCUUGCUGGAUCAAGAAGGAGGAGACGCCAUCGAGCCAUACGUGUACUGGACGCGAAGGUGUCGUCCGUUCGGCGCUAGAUCGGAUUGGAUCGUAAUCGGAUCGCGAAGAGUACGACUACAUCAACCGCGUGUUAUACGCUUCUAUUUAGCAAUCUACAAGGGUAUGUAGAUGCAAUCUCUCCUCUCGUAGAUGUUCAUCUCCUAGAUCGAUCUUGGUGAGCGUAGGAAAUUUUUUGUUUCCCAUGCAACGUUCCCCAACAGUUUCCUCAUUAUCGGUUUUGUUCUCUUUUCUCGUUAUCGCAUUCCGACAUUCCCGUGAUCAAAUCACGAUGUGUCUGGCAGACGAUGAUGGAUACUGUAACACCAAAAGGGCCCAAAGAGUAUCUCUCCAUCAUCGGAGGAGCAAUCCCAAUUUUGAGCUAUUGUCAUACUUUCCCAUGAACCUGAAAGCCGCGUAAUAGCCACCGUGUUACGGCUGAUGUUUAACUAACUCCAAAGUUCAUGAAGCAAGCAUGAAGGAACUUGAUACUCUCAUGAUCUAAGGAAUUAUGCAAACGCUAACUUCCCCAGUGCUAUAAAAUCAUUAACUCGUGACGAAUAUAUCUCAUAGCAUAACAUCAAUAUGGGUUAAUUCAACACAAGUGUUCUUCGAACAUUGUGUCCUCAAAAUUGUCGGGAUGGUCAUGCCCAUGAUCAAGAAAACGUGGCCAUCAUGCAACGCUUGAGCUAGUCUUAGAGGCACGACUAGGAAUAUAUUUUGAUCGGACAACCAAAGCGUGAGGCGAAUGAACGGUUAGCCACGUGACCGAUCCCUCGCAAAUACCAGUUUGUUGAUGCUUAGCGUGGGCCCACGAAUAUAUCAUCAUCACUAACCAUCAAAUUUUCCCAAGAGCAAACACAAAAGUCAAGUGCCUACUGAUGAAUCUCUACUUUGUAGUGGUAGAAGAAUUGUUGGGAUUAAUGGUGGCUUCAAAAUCUAUGUAUGCACCAAGUCUGUUGCCAAUGCUAGUGAAGAAAGUUCUAAGAAUAUUGAUGGUAACCUGUGGUCCAUAUUUGAUGCUAUGGUGACUGAAAAGAAUUAUGGUACACCAAGCUGCAUAUAUCAACACAAAAAUUGGAGAUAUUCAAUAUGGACAAGUCAUAUCCAUAUAAGACUCCUAUGGUUUCUCGAUCCCAAUACAUAGAGAAAGAUCCAUUCGGACUCCUUGGGAAGAUUCGAUCCUAAUGCAUAGAGAAAUAUCCAUUCAAACUCCUUGAGAAGAUUGGCGAAAAGAUGUUGGGGCUCAAGGUUCCAUAUCACAGUGCAAUUAUAAUGUUUAUGUAUCUUGCAAUUUGCAUGAGGUAUGAUAUCGUAUUUGCAGUGAAUGGCUGCUUUUGGUUAGGGCGUGGAUUUUCUGCAAGCAGUUGUGGGAGAUGUGAUGUGGAAAAGUUGAUGGAAGCUUUAUGUUAUGAGAAAUCUGUAAUGUCAUUUGGCAAACUAACUGUCUGAAAUAUGGUCGUGAAUGUAAAAGAAUAGCCCCAAGAGCUGAGAGAUUAUCUGUACAUUGUUUAACAACCAUAAUUAACACAUUACCAUAUCUUAUACUCCAUCCGCCCCAAAAUAAGUGACUCAACUUUAUGCUAACUUUGUAUUAAAGCUAAUACAAAGUUAAGUCACUUAUUUUAGGGAGUAUUUCUUUAUGGAAGGAGUAAUUUUUCGUUUUGCGAAUUUCAAGUUAAUUGACCACAUGAAAAUGAAUAAUCUACGAACUGUGGAUGUCAUUGACAGAUCAUGUUUAACCUAAUUGAGCACACUAAUGAUUUUACAAACCUUGAAUAUUCAGCUUCAAUAUAAGAAAAGUGAUUCUGAGAUAAUUGCUGAAUAGGAUGCAACACGAGUGUUGUAGGAAGAUAAUGUUGCUUGUAUUGCAGGCUUUUAUCUAGUCCAUCGAAGUAGGUAUGGAGUAAAAAUGUUAAUAGCACAGAAAAGAGAAUAUGCUUGCGAUGGCAACCCUCAUGACUUAUACGACACGUACGACGACAGCAGCAUGAGAGACAAAUAUUUCAGUUUCUUUUUUCACCGAGAACAAGCACACGGUGUGGCCGCUCAUGUGUCACAAAAAGAGAACACUCUCUUCCUUGAAGGGCAGUAAGCCAGAUAAAUAGGUCACUGCAAAUCCUUAUUCGGGAAAAAGUGGAGGGGGGGAACAUCCAUCAGCAGGGCCGGGCAUCCUGCCUCUAAAUACAUAUCCUGGCUAACAGACAGUAAAAAGCACAACAG
This 5679-nucleotide long non-coding RNA is filed under the name Triticum aestivum (bread wheat). RNAcentral's name for it is "long non-coding RNA (TAES_LNC000364)". The record is from RNAcentral. Lineage: Eukaryota; Viridiplantae; Streptophyta; Magnoliopsida; Poales; Poaceae.